UUGCAUAUCCAAAAAGCGGAGGAAAAGAAACCAACAGGGAUUGCCUCAGUAACGGCGAGUGAAGCGGCAACAGCUCAAAUUUGAAAUCUGGCUCUUUUAGGGUCCGAGUUGUAAUUUGUAGAAGAUGCUUUGGGUGAGGCUCCGGUCUAAGUUCCUUGGAACAGGACGUCAUAGAGGGUGAGAAUCCCGUAUGUGACUGGUUGCCUUCGUCCGUGUAAAGCUCUUUCGACGAGUCGAGUUGUUUGGGAAUGCAGCUCAAAAUGGGUGGUAAAUUUCAUCUAAAGCUAAAUAUUGGCCAGAGACCGAUAGCGCACAAGUAGAGUGAUCGAAAGAUGAAAAGCACUUUGGAAAGAGAGUUAAACAGUACGUGAAAUUGUUGAAAGGGAAGCGCUUGCAACCAGACUUGCACGCGGUUAAUCAUCUGGUGUUCUCACCGGUGCACUUGACCGCGUUCAGGCCAGCAUCGGUUUAGGUGGUGGGAUAAAGGCCUUGGGAAUGUAGCUUCUUUCGGGGAGUGUUAUAGCCCUCGGUGCAAUGCCGCCUACCUGGACCGAGGACCGCGCUCGGCUAGGAUGCUGGCGUAAAUGGCG
RNAcentral lists this ribosomal RNA (590 nucleotides) under Helotiales sp. I12F-02256. RNAcentral describes it as "eukaryotic LSU rRNA". It matches the Rfam family "Eukaryotic large subunit ribosomal RNA", at positions 36 to 640 of the family's 3401-position model. Lineage: Eukaryota; Fungi; Ascomycota; Leotiomycetes; Helotiales. The record is from RNAcentral.